This 248-nucleotide long non-coding RNA is filed under the name Elaeis guineensis (African oil palm). RNAcentral's name for it is "long non-coding RNA (EGUI_LNC055048)". The record is from RNAcentral. Lineage: Eukaryota; Viridiplantae; Streptophyta; Magnoliopsida; Arecales; Arecaceae.
UUUUUGACGGUCCAUAGGAUGUGGAGUCUCGAAGCAUCCGAGAUCUACUGCCAUAGUCCUUCAAGAUAUCUCGCGACCAUUUGUUCUUUGUUCUCCGCCAGAUCGUUCCAUGCGACCAAUUGGUAAAAUUCUUCCGUGUAAUCAUCUAUGGAUCUAGGCCCUUGACGGAGGUUCUACAGGCAUCGGUAUAAGAACUGCGUGUAGUUGAAGGGCAAAAAUUGCUCCCUCAACGUCUUUUUCAUGUUCUC